RNAcentral lists this ribosomal RNA (882 nucleotides) under Pilatoporus ibericus. RNAcentral's name for it is "partial large subunit ribosomal RNA". It matches the Rfam family "Eukaryotic large subunit ribosomal RNA", at positions 77 to 944 of the family's 3401-position model. The record is from RNAcentral. Lineage: Eukaryota; Fungi; Basidiomycota; Agaricomycetes; Polyporales; Fomitopsidaceae.
CCCCUAGUAACUGCGAGUGAAGCGGGAAAAGCUCAAAUUUAAAAUCUGGCGGUCUUUGGCCGUCCGAGUUGUAGUCUGGAGAAGUGCUUUCCGCGCUGGACCGUGUACAAGUCUCUUGGAACAGAGCGUCAUAGAGGGUGAGAAUCCCGUCUUUGACACGGACUACCAGUGCUUUGUGAUGCGCUCUCAAAGAGUCGAGUUGUUUGGGAAUGCAGCUCAAAAUGGGUGGUAAAUUCCAUCUAAAGCUAAAUAUUGGCGAGAGACCGAUAGCGAACAAGUACCGUGAGGGAAAGAUGAAAAGCACUUUGGAAAGAGAGUUAAACAGUACGUGAAAUUGCUGAAAGGGAAACGCUUGAAGUCAGUCGCGUUGGCCAGGACUCAGCCUUGCUUUUCGCUUGGUGCAUUUUCUGGUUGACGGGCCAGCAUCGAUUUUGACCACUGGAAAAAGGCUAGGGGAAUGUGGCACCUUCGGGUGUGUUAUAGCCCUUAGUCACAUACAGUGGUUGGGAUCGAGGACCGCAGCACGCCUUUAUGGCCGGGGUUCGCCCACGUUCGUGCUUAGGAUGCUGGCGUAAUGGCUUUAAACGACCCGUCUUGAAACACGGACCAAGGAGUCUAACAUGCCUGCGAGUGUUUGGGUGGAAAACCCGAGCGCGUAAUGAAAGUGAAAGUUGAGAUCCCUGUCGUGGGGAGCAUCGACGCCCGGACCUGAACUUCGGUGAUGGAUCUGCGGUAGAGCAUGUAUGUUGGGACCCGAAAGAUGGUGAACUAUGCCUGAAUAGGGUGAAGCCAGAGGAAACUCUGGUGGAGGCUCGUAGCGAUUCUGACGUGCAAAUCGAUCGUCAAAUUUGGGUAUAGGGGCGAAAGACUAAUCGAACCAUC